Leopardus geoffroyi (Geoffroy's cat) is the source of this 592-nucleotide long non-coding RNA. RefSeq lists it as uncharacterized. The record is from RefSeq and is a predicted model, not a curated record. The transcript is spliced from 2 exons. NCBI's taxonomy places the organism in Eukaryota, Metazoa, Chordata, Mammalia, Carnivora, Felidae.
CCAAGACUUGAAGAUUAUGGUCCUCUUAAGUCCCUGAAUGCAAAGGAAGAAGCCAAACCAUACCUCAUAAUACAGGAAUGGAAACAUCCCUUAAAUCCAGGCCACUUCCUGUGGUUGAGCAAGUGGUCGCUGCACCAAAGAUGCCCAGCCACUGGUGUGACAUUCAAAUCCAGCUCAUGUUUUACUGCUCAGACCAGUCCAGACCACCAGCUCACUGAGUCCACUUGGAGGAAGGUUAUCUGUUUUCUUUGCCCAAAGGCUUUGUCUGCUUGCCAAGCUCUAAGCCCACAAAGAUGCUGCUUUCCAGAAGGAAGCCACCUGUAUGGAAAGAAAGGCUGGUAUGGUGACAUAAGUGUCGGAUCUACAAGGUGACCAGGAAAAGAUGCUCAAGACCAAAGAUUGUGACACAGACUGACAAUCCCAUCCUGCCUCCACGGCUCACGACCUACGGGACUUCACUGACCCCCUUCAAAGACAGCCUCCUCAUCUACAAAACGGGGCUAAAAGAAGCAACUCCCUAAAAGCGUGGCUAUGAGAAUUAAGUCCAUCAUACGUGUAACCAACUGUGCUACACAUGUCAGCUGUUGUGUUA